Molecule: long non-coding RNA, 1140 nt
Filed under: Anas platyrhynchos (mallard)
Lineage: Eukaryota; Metazoa; Chordata; Aves; Anseriformes; Anatidae
Description: lncRNA (ENSAPLG00020011158.1)
Source: RNAcentral
CCCCGAGCCGUGGCCAGCCGAGCGCUCCAACGCCGCCCGCGUACGAUUGACUGCCGCCGGCUGCUGUACUGCAUUUCUGCUGUUAAACCCUGUGCUUUUGGGGUGGGGGGCAUCGUGGACCGCCUCUGUCUUGUCACUGCUCGUCAAACUGCGGCCGAGCCAGCGGGUUUGGGGAGUGGUAAUGGUCUUGCUGCGGAGAAUUGGUUGGUGCCAGGUGAAGCGAAGCCCUGCCCUGGCUGGGUGGUGGCGGGGAGCUCCCCUCAGUGCCAUCGGGUGUCCUCGCAUCCCGCUGUCCCCUCUGAGCCCGCUUGCCUUGCUCUGAGCAAAGCACCCACUCCAGGAUUUCCCUGGUUUGGGGCCCAAGUGCUUUGCGGAACAGAAGAUGGGUUAAGUGCGUGCUUCCCUGCUGUCUCGGAUGGGAUUUAUAGGCUGCAGCUCCCGGCGACUGUGCCGGAGAGCAGGAAUGGGCCUUAUUUGGUUAAAGAGCGAGCGGAGCCGCUGCAGGGCUGCCAGGACACCCGCUGCAGGUCUGGGCAGGACGCAGCAGCCCCAGGUCAGGGACCAGCCUGCUGCUUCGGUCACCGAGCUCUGCCUGCGAGUUCGCUCACGUCCUUCACAUCCCAGCCAGACACCUGGCCGGGGCCACGCUCUCCUGGCAAACCAGCCAUAGGUACCGUGGCUUUGCUUUUGCCUGGUGUUGCUCUUCUUUAUGUAAUUUUUGUGAACAGCUGCAGCCCCACCUGGGUACCUCCGCAGCUGUGCCACACCAGGGCUAACGGGGCUCUGCUUCGUCUCCAAAUCACACUACCAGGAGCACCUGGCCCAAUGGUUGCAACCAGUGGCAGCUGUGAGGGUGUUGAGCAGCUCUUGGGUCUGUCUUUGUGCUCUGCUUUGUCUGAGUGCAGGCAAAACUCAGUUCUGCAGCUGCUUUGUGGUGCUGCUGAAGCAGCCUCUUGGGCAUUCAGUGCUCGGAUGCAGCGAGCUGGGUCCGUGGGCAUCGCUGCCCUGUGGCAGCGGGAGCCAGGGCCGGGCUUUUCCUGGGAAGAGCAGAAAAUGACCAAGCAGGGACUGGUGCAGGCGCCUGGCGAGCAGCUGAGCGUGGCAGGGAGAAGCUGUGUGGAUCCUUGUCCUAAGCACUGA